AUUUAAUUAGUUUAAUUAAAAUAUUGAUAUGUGAUUUCAAUGAUAUUUAUUUAUUAAAUU
RNAcentral lists this transfer RNA (60 nucleotides) under Belyta sp. ZJUH_2016005. RNAcentral describes it as "tRNA-His". Lineage: Eukaryota; Metazoa; Arthropoda; Insecta; Hymenoptera; Diapriidae. The record is from RNAcentral.